AUCUUUAAAAUUAAAGAUUUUGGCGGUAUUUUAGUCUAUUCAGAGGAACCUGUUUUAUAAUUGAUAAUCCACGAUUAAUUAUACUUUAUUUUUUAAUUUGUAUAUCGUCGUAGUUUGAAUAUUUUAUAAUAUAAUAUUUUCAGAUCAAGGUGCAGUUUAUAUUAAAGUAAAAAUGGGUUACAAUAAAAAUGUAAAUUAAAUUGGAUUUGAAAGUAAGCUCUAAAAUAUGUACAUAUCGCCCGUCGCUUUCGUUAUAAAAUGAAAUAAGUCGUAACAAAGUAGGUUUAUUGGAAAAUGUACCUAGAAUGCAAAUUAGAGCUUGAUAAGUAUUUUAUUUACAUUAAAAAGUUAAUUGUGAAAUUCAAUUUAAUUUGAAUUUAAAUAUUUAUUAAAUUUAAUUAUUUAUUAAUUUUAAUUAAAAAAUUAUAAUUUUUAUUUUUUUAAAGAAAAAAUUUUAUUAUAGAUUAAAGUAUUGUGAAAGAAAAUUUUAAAAUUUAAAAAAGAAAUUUUAAAUUAUUGUACCUUGUGUAUCAGGGUUUAUCAAUUUAUAGUUCUCGAAUUUAAAAGAGUUAAUUUUAUUGUAAAAUAAAUAUUUAAAAUUAUUGAUUAGUAAUGAAACGUUAUUCGUUUUUAAAUAUAUCUAGUUUUUUAAGAAAUAAAUUUAAUUUAUUAAUUAAUAUUAAAAUAAAUAAGGGAUAAGCUUUUAAAUAAAAUUUUAAAAAAUUAUUUAUUUUAAAAAAUUAUAGGAUUAGAAUUUUUCAUUAAUAAUAGAAUGUUAUAAUUAAAGUUUUUAAGUUUUUUAUUAAAAUUUUAAUUUAAAUUAUUUAAAUUAAGUAAUAAUGAUAAAAUUAGUAAAUUAAUAUUAAGGAAUUCGGCAAAUUUAUUUUCCACCUGUUUAAUAAAAACAUGUCUUUUUGAUUAUAAUUUAAAGUUUGACCUGCCCAAUGAUUUAAUGGCCGCAGUAUUUUGACUGUGCAAAGGUAGCAUAAUCAUUAGUUUUUUAAAUGAAAGCUGGUAUGAAUGGUUUGAUGAGAAAAAAGCUGUCUCUAAAAAUUUAUUUUUAAGUUAAAAAGCUUAAAUAAGUUAAAAAGACGAGAAGACCCU
Molecule: ribosomal RNA, 1104 nt
Filed under: Latometus sp. 1 NLG-2012
Lineage: Eukaryota; Metazoa; Arthropoda; Insecta; Coleoptera; Zopheridae
Description: partial 16S ribosomal RNA
Source: RNAcentral